AUCCUCAAAUUCGCACGCGUGCCCUAAUUGCAGCGGUGAAACGAUCUCCUUCUCUACAGCGACCGCGACUGCGGCGUUUUCCUUUGCGAAAGGCGGCAGCAACGGUGGCAUCUUCCUCCGUCGAGCUCUUAUCGCUGCGGCUUUUUCCUCGGCGAACGAUGGAUGCUGCGGUUUCCUCUCCGUCGGCGAACGGUGACAGCGCUCGGUAUCUCUCUCUUACACAUCCGCCUCCUCCUCUUCCUCCUUCGCCGUCGCACAAUCCCUUCCCCUCCCUCCUCUACACCCCUCUUCGCCCUCUCUAUACAUCUUCCCCUCCCCUUUCCUACUCCCCUUUCCUACCUCACGGCUCAAUUCCUAUGAUAUAAAAGAUCGUGCUGACCGAGUCAGAACUCUGUGUCUCUGGAAGCCUCGGCUCGGCGGAACCCUUCCGCUCGCUCGCUUUGAAGAUUGCGCCUUUAUCGCGCAAUCCUCGGCACGGCGGUAUCCGCAUCUGGUCUUCCUUGCCCGUUGAGUGCGUUGGCCUUUGAUUUGAUGACAACUUGAGCUAGGGUUUUCGUUGUUUUCCAUCUGAUCAAAAUCGCUCAAUUAGGGAAGAAAUUUCAAAAUCGAAGAUAAGAGGGAAGGAGAGAUGCAUACACUGCUCUGAGCCUGUUUCCGUGUAAGCCCACCGCUCCAAUGAACUGUUGGUUUAAGAGCUUUGCUUCAUAGCGAUACAAACACCGACCAAAAUACAGAUGCAUACACUGCUACUAGCUGGACCUUUCAUAUAAUUUUAUGAUAAAAGAAGCCCUCCAACAAGUCAAACUGA
Long non-coding RNA from Musa acuminata AAA Group (dessert banana), 808 nucleotides. RefSeq lists it as uncharacterized. The transcript is spliced from 2 exons. NCBI's taxonomy places the organism in Eukaryota, Viridiplantae, Streptophyta, Magnoliopsida, Zingiberales, Musaceae. The record is from RefSeq and is a predicted model, not a curated record.